This 955-nucleotide long non-coding RNA is filed under the name Homo sapiens (human). RNAcentral's name for it is "HSALNT0092478". The record is from RNAcentral. Lineage: Eukaryota; Metazoa; Chordata; Mammalia; Primates; Hominidae.
CUCCCCUCCUGCCUCCAGGUUCACAGGCUGAUCUCAGAAAUGGAGGUCAAUGAGCCAUGAUGUUCAAUGCUGGAUACAGAUUAAAAUCAACUUUAAAUAUUAAAGAUGAGCCCCAACCUGACUAAUUGAAUAGUGUAGUGUUACAGCACAAAAGGAUAUAUGUGCAGAAUGCCUCAUAACGCUAAUGUGAAGCCAGGGUUGAGCACCACUCAUAGGGGCAAGCUCAGCACACCUCCCGCCUUCUGGCUCUGCUCUCUUCUUGGGGUCUCAUUGUCACCAAUAUCCAGACAGUGGGUGGUCAAGGAGAAGAAACAUGCCAAACAGUCAAUAUGGACCAGGUGUGGGGGUGAGGAUGUGGCUGAAAUGAUAUCUAUGGUCCAGAAAUUCCAUCUACAUUUCUUCUGCAAUCCUAUUGUACAAGACAUGAUCAUCACACAUAUCCUUAUCAGAUCUGAGUAUCCUCAAGUAAAUUUAGAAAAUGCCACUUCUGCUGUCCUUAGAUUGUGCCUGCUUCCCCUUCGCCUCUCGCCAUGAUUGCAAGUUUCCUGAGACCUCCCCAGCCAUGCCUCCUGUACAGCCUGUGAAACUGUGAGUCUGUUAAAGCUCUUACCUUUAUAAAUUACCCAGUCUCAGGUAGUUCUUUAUAGCAAUGUGAAAACGGACUAAUACAAAAGUCAAACUCGUGUUCCUUGUUUUAAGUCUACUGUGGACUCUGGCUGAACUGUUAGGGAGGCAGGGCAAGAGAACAGAACACAUCUAACAGAAGGGCCAGUAAAUGUUAACUUUUUUCCACUGACACAGAAAAUAAUGAAAUUUUAAAGCAGAGUAAAAUGAAAUGUAACAAGAAGAAAAAUGAUGUACAGUUUCUAAUGACCUUCUAUAAACUAUUAAAAUAAUAAAAUGUAGCGAAUUGUUCACAACGUCCAAAUACUUUCAACAUAGAGUUUAUUUUACU